Molecule: ribosomal RNA, 253 nt
Filed under: uncultured bacterium
Lineage: Bacteria
Description: partial 16S ribosomal RNA
Rfam family: Bacterial small subunit ribosomal RNA
Source: RNAcentral
UACAGAGGUCUCAAGCGUUGUUCGGAUUCAUUGGGCGUAAAGGGUGCGUAGGCGGCGCGGUAAGUCGGGUGUGAAAUCUCGGAGCUUAACUCCGAAACUGCAUUCGAUACUGCCGUGCUCGAGGACUGUAGAGGAGAUCGGAAUUCACGGUGUAGCAGUGAAAUGCGUAGAUAUCGUGAGGAAGACCAGUUGCGAAGGCGGAUCUCUGGGCAGUUCCUGACACUGAGGCACGAAGGCCAGGGGAGCAAACGGG